ACACCUAUCAAACGGUAACGCAGGUGUCCUAAGGCGAGCUCAGGGAGGACAGAAACCUCCCGUGGAGCAUAAGGGCAAAAGCUCGCUUGAUCUUGAUUUUCAGUAUGAAUACAGACCGUGAAAGCAGGGCCUCACGAUCCUUCUGCCUUUUUGGGUUUUAAGCACGGGGUGUCAGAAAAGUUUCCACACGGAUAACUGGCUUGUGGCGGCCAAGCGUUCAUACCGACGUCGCUUUUUGAUCCUUCGAUGUCGGCUCUUCCUAUCAUUGUGAAGCACCCNGCCCCGGCGGCCGCUCCGAACUCCUAUACGUGAAGUCCCAUUUACUCCCUAAAUACCACUCACUAUUACGGUUUCCCUGGUCCCCGGCCCAAUGUACCCCCGG
This 382-nucleotide ribosomal RNA is filed under the name Poecilia reticulata (guppy). RNAcentral's name for it is "eukaryotic LSU rRNA". It matches the Rfam family "Eukaryotic large subunit ribosomal RNA", at positions 2635 to 2913 of the family's 3401-position model. The record is from RNAcentral. Lineage: Eukaryota; Metazoa; Chordata; Actinopteri; Cyprinodontiformes; Poeciliidae.